RNAcentral lists this ribosomal RNA (459 nucleotides) under uncultured bacterium. Its description in RNAcentral is "partial 16S ribosomal RNA". It matches the Rfam family "Bacterial small subunit ribosomal RNA", at positions 338 to 795 of the family's 1533-position model. The record is from RNAcentral.
CCUACGGGUGGCAGCAGUGAGGAAUAUUGGUCAAUGGUCGGGAGACUGAACCAGCCAAGCCGCGUGAGGGAGGAAGGUACAGAGUAUCGUAAACCUCUUUUGUCAGGGAACAAAGACUGGGACGCGUCCCCGGAUGAGUGUACCUGAAGAACAAGCAUCGGCUAACUCCGUGCCAGCAGCCGCGGUAAUACGGAGGACGCGAGCGUUAUCCGGUUUUAUGUGGUUUAAAGGGUGCGCGGGCGGUCUGUAAAGUCAGCGGUCAAAGCCCGGGGCCAAACCCCGGCCCGCCGUUUAAACUGGCAGUCUCGAGUUGGAGAGAAGUAUGCGGAAGGCGCGGUGUAGCGGUGAAAUGCAUAGAUAUCGCGCAGAACUCCGAUUGCGAAGGCAGCAUGCCGGCUCCACACUGACGCUGAGGCACGAAAGCGUGGGUAUCGAACAGGAUUAGAUACCCCUGUAGUC